UGAUAGGAACACUUAUUCCCGAAGUCGCA
Molecule: non-coding RNA, 29 nt
Filed under: Mus musculus (house mouse)
Lineage: Eukaryota; Metazoa; Chordata; Mammalia; Rodentia; Muridae
Source: RNAcentral